UGUUCCCUACGGGGGGCAGCAGUGAGGAAUAUUGGUCAAUGGGCGGAAGCCUGAACCAGCCAAGUCGCGUGAGGGAAUAAGGCCCUACGGGUCGUAAACCUCUUUUGCCGGGGAGCAAGGGCGGGGACGUGUCCCGGCCCGGAGAGUACCCGGAGAAAAAGCAUCGGCUAACUCCGUGCCAGCAGCCGCGGUAAUACGGAGGAUGCGAGCGUUAUCCGGAUUUAUUAGGUUUAAAGGGUGCGCAGGCGGAAGCGCAAGUCAGCGGUAAAAUUGAGAGGCUCAACCUCUUCCCGCCGUUGAAACUG
Molecule: ribosomal RNA, 305 nt
Filed under: uncultured bacterium
Lineage: Bacteria
Description: bacterial SSU rRNA
Rfam family: Bacterial small subunit ribosomal RNA
Source: RNAcentral